Molecule: long non-coding RNA, 5423 nt
Filed under: Arabidopsis lyrata
Lineage: Eukaryota; Viridiplantae; Streptophyta; Magnoliopsida; Brassicales; Brassicaceae
Description: long non-coding RNA (ALYR_LNC001192)
Source: RNAcentral
AAUGAACGAGUGUUGAGUAAUAAUGAUAAGGUCCAUCAAUGCUACUAUCGAAAGAGGAAGAGAGGAGAAGUCAACGUGGUCAAUGCUGAGAUACAGAAUUCGUCACAGGUGGCAAGUGGUGACGUGGCAAGUGGCUAAAGGGAAGGAGCGAAGCCUUGGGUCGUAUCAGAGGGUUUCAACUUCUCUGAGUCAAUAAAAGGAGCCGUUGCUCAUCUCUUUCAUGGAUGUUUUUUUUAUGUGUUGUGUGUGUUGCUGAGCCUGCGUGCUAGCUGGGAAUCGAUCGUCAUGAGAUCGUUCCUUUAGAUUCGUUUUGUAAUUCUCUGUUACAGAAACGAUCGUUGUUUUUUUUUCUCUGUUCACGAUUUGUGAUUAGAGUAAUAAAUUGAUUUGGUUGAUUCUCAAUUUUCUGGGUUGUUGUGUUGAGAUAGAUCUAAACUCUAUCAUUGGUGCGGUGAAACUGGUUCGUUACGUGUGUUGAUCAUGGAUCGCGAUGGAUCUGAUGUGUUUGAAGAAGAUACGGGUUCUUCUGAUGCAAUAUAUGUGCAGAUGAGGAAUUUGCGUUUGGGUUUUCAGGGUUUGUGUGAAGCGAAGGUGGAGACGGAGUCUAAGCUUGUGUCGUUGGAAGAGUUGCUCAAAUCGGUGGUGAAAACGUUGGAUCGUUUGGAGAUUCACGCUGGAAAAAAAGUUGAUAAAGGUGAGCCUUCCCGACAGUCGUUUUCGGGUCAGAUUCUUCCCGAUCUACACUCGUCAGAAACUCGAUCUUCGGGGUUACCUCUGGAAACUCGCGAUAAAUUGUUAAAAAAAAUUAAGAUGCCUGUGUUUACUGGAUCGCAGCCGUAUGCUUGGAUUUCACAGGUGGAGCGUUUUUUUCGGGUGGGUCGCUUUAGCGAUGCGGCUAAGUUGGAUUUGGUUUCCUUAAGUUUGGAAGGGGAUGUGUUGAAAUGGUUUAACUGGGAGGUUUCGCGUCGUGAUUUUGGGUCGUGGGAGGAGUUUAAGAACCGUCUGUUGAUUCAUUUUGGUGGUACUAUUGAUGAUGAACCGGGGAAUAGACUAUUUGCCAUUAAACAGGUGGGAUCAGUGGCUGCAUACAUCACUGAGUUUCAGGAUUUAUCUUCUCAGGUGAUAGGGUUGGAUGAUACACACUUGGAGAAAAUUUUUUAUAAUGGUCUUAAGCAUGAGAUGAAGGAGGUUAUCAAAAUGAAAGAGCCUAAGGGACUGCCAAAUCACAUUACCGCUGUGUUGAAAAUGGAAUCAAGCUCUUUUUGCAAACUGGUUAGUGAAACUGGUGAAGGAACGAAGCAACAAAGUCAGCCUAUUCCUCCACCUGCACGGCCAGUGUUCACUUCCCAUGCUCCUAAACCAGUAGGGAUUCCUCCAAGUCCUUCUAUUGGGAAGUCUCCAGAGAGCAGUCCAAAGCCUCUGGGUCGUCCUCGUAUUCGUCACAAUGAUGCAGAACUUGACGCCAUGAGGAGUAAAGGAAUCUGUUUCAAAUGCAAGGGAAAGUACUUCCGUGGCCAUGAAUGUCCAAUGAAAGAGUUGAGAGUUUUAACAGUGGUGAAUGGGUAUGAACUUGAGGUGUUAGAUGAAAAUAUGAUUGAAUGUGUGGAAGAAGAGCAACCUUUGGUGGCUGCAGUGAAACCUGAGUUGAGGACCUUAUCUUUCAACUCUUAUGUAGGGUUGCAUUCACCAAAAACAACUAAAAUGGUAGGUUUUAUGGGCAAGACCAGAGUGAUUGUGAUGAUUGAUUGUGGGGCAUCGCAUAACUUUAUCACUCCAGCAGUGGCAUUAAAAUUAAAACUUACCAUUCAACAAGAUUCAGGUCUUGAAGUGCUGCUUGGUAAUGGUGUCACUGUUCAAGGAACAGGAACCUGUCGUGACGUUCAUUUCCGGUUGUCUGGUGUUGAGUUCCUCCAGGAUUUCAUCACACUGGAGUUGGGGAGUGUUGAUGUCAUCCUUGGGGUCCAAUGGCUGGAAACCCUGGGGAAAUGUGUGGUGGAUUGGAAGUUACAGGAAUGGUCUUUCUUAUAUGGAGGGCAGCCAGUGCUAUUAUAUGGAGAUGCUACCCUUCAUGAUUCACCAUUGUCCUUGAAAACAUUGUGUGCACCUCCCUCUGUUGGACGUUCAAGGGCUCAAUUAGCUGUGCUGAAGAGUAGUGAGCCUCCAGCUAUUGUUCCUCUUGUUCCCUCAGCGGUAGCAGAGUUGUUGCACCGUUAUUCUCAGGUUUUUGCACUGCCUUCUGGAUUACCUCCUUUCCGAGGCCAGGAUCACGCUAUCAACCUCUUACCAGGUGUCUCCGCUAUCUCUGUAAGGCCAUAUCGCUAUCCACAUGCCCGUAAGGAGACUAUGGAGAAUUUAGUGGCGGAGAUGCUGACUUCAGGAAUCAUUAGACCAAGUACAAGUCCUUUUUCUAGUCCUGUUUUGCUAGUUAAAAAGAAGGACGCUUCCUGGAGGUUUUGUGUUGAUUAUAGAGCCCUAAAUAAGGUGACUAUUCCAGACAAAUUUCCCAUUCCGGUGAUUGAUCAGUUGCUAGAUGAACUACAUGGGUCUACCAUCUAUUCUAAGCUGGAUUUACGAUCAGGCUACCAUCAAAUAAGAAUGAAACCCGAGGAUGUGGCUAAGACUGCAUUCCGGACUCUGGAGGGGCACUAUGAGUUCCUCGUAAUGCCUUUUGGCCUUACUAACGCCCCGGCUACCUUUCAGGCUCUCAUGAACAAGAUAUUCAAACCUUACUUGCGCAAAUUUGUGCUUGUAUUUUUUGAUGAUAUCUUGGUUUUUAGUGACGAUGUUGCUUCUCAUGUGGAGCAUUUACAGUUGGUGCUGCAGUUGUUGGAUGAGCAUCAGUUGUUUGCCAACAUGAAGAAGUGUUCAUUUGGAGUGUCACAGGUUGAAUACUUGGGUCAUAUUAUCUCUGCUAAGGGAGUGGCUACAGAUGUUACGAAGACUGAUGCAAUGCGUCUCUGGCCAACUCCUGUUACUGUCAAGCAACUGCGGGGGUUCUUAGGCCUAACUGGUUAUUAUCGCAGGUUUGUUCAAGGUUAUGGCAUGGUGGCCAAACCAUUGACAGAUUUGUUGCGCAAAGAUCAGUUUGAAUGGUCCAAUCAAGCUCAGCAAGCUUUUGACAAACUGAAGAUGGCGAUGAUUUCAGCUCCUGUCCUUGGCUUGCCUGACUUUAGUAAACAAUUUGUGGUGGAGACAGACGCGUCCGGAGUGGGAGUAGGCGCAGUGCUGAUGCAAGGUCAUAGACCUUUGGCCUACUUUAGCCACGGGUUAACACCAAGGGAGCAACUGAAACCGGCGUAUGAGAGAGAGUUAAUGGCCAUAGUGCUGGCAGUUCUUAAGUGGAAGCAUUACUUAAUUGGCCGUAAGUUUGCAGUUCAUACUGAUCACCGAAGUUUGAAGUAUUUGUUGGAGCAAAAGGAGGUCAGUCUUGAGUAUCAACGUUGGUUAACUAAGCUAAUGGGGUUUGACAUGGAGAUUUACUAUAAACCGGGUGUGGAAAACAAAGCGGCUGAUGGGUUAUCAAGAGUUCAACAACCAGGGAUCAGUGUGUCAUCUGCGGUGUUGUUAGCAUUGACAGUACCAGUGUCCCUACAGCUACAGGAUGUGUACAAGGAAAUUGAGAGGGACUCUCAUAUUCAAGCUGUCGUACAACAAGUGUUAGUGAAACCAGAAAAACAGGGUCAUUAUCAGGUUCAUGAUGCAAAAUUAUGGUAUAAGAAGAGGUUGGUUAUUCCAAAGGAUUCUCCAUUCAUCAAGUUACUUUUACAAGAGUUCCAUGACAGUAAGUUGGGUGGUCAUGGAGGAGUUCUCAAGACAAAGAAAAGAAUACAGGAGAGUUUCCAUUGGGAAGGCAUGCACAAAGAUAUUCAAAAGUAUGUGGCAGAGUGCUCUAUAUGUCAGACACAUAAAACUUCAACUCUUUCUCCUGCGGGUUUGUUGCAGCCUCUACCAAUUCCAACACGGAUAUGGGAAGAUUUGUCACUGGAUUUCAUUGAGGGACUUCCAAAAUCGGGUGGCGUGAAUGCUAUCUUGGUGGUGGUUGAUAGAUUCAGUAAGUAUGCUCAUUUCCUUGGUCUGUGUCAUCCUUUCACAGCCUUGGAUGUAGCUACCAAGUUCUGUUGUGAGAUCAUUCGGCUUCAUGGGGUUCCUAAAACACUGGUUUCAGAUCGGGACAGAGUGUUCUUGAGUUCAGUAUGGAAGGAGACAUUCCGUUUGGCGGGUACACAGCUCAACUUUAGCACCGCAUACCAUCCACAAUCUGAUGGCCAAACUGAAGUGUUGAAUCGUUGUUUGGAAUCUUAUCUACGGUGUUUUGCUUCUAGUCAUCCGAGAACCUGGUUUAAGUAUUUGCCUUGGGCUGAGUUUUCAUAUAACACGUCCUUUCACACUGCUUUGAAAUCAACUCCCUUUCAAGUGGUUUACGGGCGUGAACCUCCGCAGCUCCUACGUUUUGAACCAGGCUCCACCAACAAUGUUACCUUGGCAGCUCAGCUACAAGAGCGGGACGAAAUGCUGGCCAGAAUCAGAGUUAAUUUAGCUCGGGCACAACAGUUGAUGAAGAAAAGUGCUGAUCUGAAGCGCCGGGAGGUGGAAUUCGCAGUAGGUGACUGGGUUUUUCUGAAAUUACAACCAUAUCGUCAGCAAUCAGUCUCGCGCCGUGUUUGUCAGAAGUUAGCAGCGAAGUUUUUUGGUCCUUUUGAGAUUGGGGAACGCAUCGGCGCAGUCGCCUAUCGUUUGAAACUACCAGUGGAAGCUUCAAUCCAUCCGGUGUUUCACGUGUCGCAAUUGAAGGCAGUUCUGGGUCCACACCAUCAAGUGCAAACAGAGUUACCUGUCCUCUCCGACACAGAGGAAUCAGUUUUGCUACCGGCGGCGAUUUUGGAAGUGCAGAGUAACGCGACGGGUAGCCGUGAAUUUCUGAUUCAGUGGACGGGUUUUCCGGAGGUUGCGAAUUCGUGGAUGUCGUCAAAAGAUUUUGUGCAGCAGUAUCCCGAUUUUAAGCUUGAGGACAAGCUUAUUUUUCCGGCGGGGUGUAUUGAUAAGGUCCAUCAAUGCUACUAUCGAAAGAGGAAGAGAGGAGAAGUCAACGUGGUCAAUGCUGAGAUACAGAAUUCGUCACAGGUGGCAAGUGGUGACGUGGCAAGUGGCUAAAGGGAAGGAGCGAAGCCUUGGGUCGUAUCAGAGGGUUUCAACUUCUCUGAGUCAAUAAAAGGAGCCGUUGCUCAUCUCUUUCAUGGAUGUUUUUUUUAUGUGUUGUGUGUGUUGCUGAGCCUGCGUGCUAGCUGGGAAUCGAUCGUCAUGAGAUCGUUCCUUUAGAUUCGUUUUGUAAUUCUCUGUUACAGAAACGAUCGUUGUUUUUUUUUCUCUGUUCACGAUUUGUGAUUAGAGUAAUAAAUUGAUUUGGUUGAUUCUCAAUUUUCUGG